This 102-nucleotide small nuclear RNA is filed under the name Ursus thibetanus thibetanus. The record is from RNAcentral. Lineage: Eukaryota; Metazoa; Chordata; Mammalia; Carnivora; Ursidae.
GGGCUCACUCCGGCAGUACAUACGCUGAACAGGAACGAUACGGAGAUUAGCGUGCCCCUGCACAAGGAUGACACGCACAUUCGUAAAGAGUUCCAUAUAUGG